RNAcentral lists this ribosomal RNA (253 nucleotides) under uncultured bacterium. RNAcentral describes it as "partial 16S ribosomal RNA". It matches the Rfam family "Bacterial small subunit ribosomal RNA", at positions 524 to 776 of the family's 1533-position model. The record is from RNAcentral.
UACGUAGGGUGCAAGCGUUAAUCGGAAUUACUGGGCGUAAAGCGUGCGCAGGCGGUGAUGUAAGACAGGUGUGAAAUCCCCGGGCUUAACCUGGGAACUGCAGUUGUGACUGCAUCGCUGGAGUGCGGCAGAGGGGGAUGGAAUUCCGCGUGUAGCAGUGAAAUGCGUAGAUAUGCGGAGGAACGCCGAUGGCGAAGGCAAUCCCCUGGGCCUGCACUGACGCUGAGGCGCGAAAGCGUGGGGAGCAAACAGG